AUCCAGCUGAUGAGUUUCAAAUAGGAUGAAACGCACAUCCUGGAU
This 45-nucleotide non-coding RNA is filed under the name Schistosoma curassoni. The record is from RNAcentral. Lineage: Eukaryota; Metazoa; Platyhelminthes; Trematoda; Strigeidida; Schistosomatidae.